CCAUCUAAACUUUCAGUCCGCCGAGGAAACGUUUUGGCUCGACGGCGGUUCGAAAUUUUUUUCGAUGGCGGUGUUUAGAUGGCGGAUUUCCGCCAUCUAAACUAUCCCGCCCAAAAUUUCGAAUGACCCCCAAUUUCCAGCCCGAUUACCCGAUUAAAUUGACUUAAGAUGGCGGAUUUCCGCCAUCUUAAGUAUUCGGGGACUCGGGCGGAAAAAGCCCGCCCAAAUUUCGAUUGGGCGGACUUUCACUUAAGUGCUGGCGGCACUUAAGUGUACUUACAUGGCGGAAAUCCGCCAUGUAAGUUUUGGGGUUUAAUAAAAACCCCAAAUCGACAGAACGCACUCAUUUCUUCAAAUCGUCUCCUUCCUGCCGGUUGCUGCGCUCCUGCCGUCGUUCCCUCGCUCCGCCGGUUGCUGCGUCGUCGUCGUCUCCUCCAAUCGUUCACGUCGCCGGUCUCGUCUACUGUUUUGGUUCACGUCUCCGUCGCCCGUCGCCGUUCUCUCAGAGGUCACGUCUCCAUUGCUGUGAAGGUAUUUUUGUUUUGGUUUUUGGUUAUAAAUUUUUUUGUUUCAUCUACUGUUUCGCCGGUCACGUCUCCUCCCGUCGGGCAUGUCCUCCCGUCGGUCAUCUUCAUCAAUUAAGCUACUCUUUAAUAUGAUUAAAAUGGAAAGGAAGAGUAAUGAAAUCAAACUUUUGAUUAUUCAAGUAAUGUAAUGUUAUUCAAGUCUAGUUAUUAUCGAUGAUUAGUUAUUAUAACUUAUUACAUGUAUGAUCCUAAUACGAAAGCAAGUAUGUGCAGAGUGGAAAAUAUAAAUUCAGAAGGUUUAUUUAUUUUCUAUCUUCGUAAAUGAAGAUUUCAAAAAUAAAAAUAAGAACAAUACUAAAAUGUACAAAACAUAUAUGACGUGGGCUAAAUUUGGAAUGGGACAAUAUAUUUUUCUCUCAACUUAGAUGUUCAGAACUUUUUCUGAUUCUAGAAUAACGAAUAAACUUGGAUGAUGCAUCUAUGUAGAGUUUUAGUUAUUUUUAAGGUUAAGAGAUAAUUUAGGUCAGUUACUGAUUUUUUAUUUUAAAAUUCUACAAAAUUCUUAUAAAUGGAAAUGAUCUUUAAAUUCUUACUUCUGAGGAUUAGCGGCAACCAUUUUCUUUAAAGUUCCAUCACGAUGGCACAAGUCAACUGCAGAUCGUACAUUUGUACAUUUGAAUCAUACUAAAAAUUUAAUGAAUGUAUUUGCUGAAUGGUUUUAUAAUGAAUGUAUUUGCUGAAUUUAAUGAAUGAUUAAAAUUUUUAUUUUUGAAUGGUUUUAUAAUUGUGUUUAUUGUAAUUAGGGGAGAUUUUAUUAAUGUAUUUUAUUGUAAUAGGAUUGUGAUCUUAGGUUUAUUCUCGCCGGUCUCCACUUCCACUGCCGUCGCCGAUCCCACCAUCUGUCAAGGUAGUAUAUAUAUCUAUUUAUCUAUUAUCUAUUUUGUG
Molecule: long non-coding RNA, 1472 nt
Filed under: Zostera marina
Lineage: Eukaryota; Viridiplantae; Streptophyta; Magnoliopsida; Alismatales; Zosteraceae
Description: long non-coding RNA (ZMAR_LNC002136)
Source: RNAcentral